UACCAGCACCCCGAGUGGUCGGGACGAUUAUUGGGCCUAAAGCAUCCGUAGCCGGUUCUACAAGUCUUCCGUUAAAUCCACCUGCUUAACAGAUGGGCUGCGGAGGAUACUACAAGGCUAGGAGGCGGAAGAGGCAAGCGGUACUCAGUGGGUAGGGGUAAAAUCCUCUGAUCCAUUGAAGACCACCAGUGGCGAAGGCGGCUUGCCAAUACGCGCUCGACGGUGAGGGAUGAAAGCUGGGGGAGCAAACAGG
This 253-nucleotide ribosomal RNA is filed under the name uncultured bacterium. RNAcentral's name for it is "partial 16S ribosomal RNA". It matches the Rfam family "Archaeal small subunit ribosomal RNA", at positions 474 to 727 of the family's 1478-position model. The record is from RNAcentral.